This 1024-nucleotide long non-coding RNA is filed under the name Helianthus annuus (common sunflower). Its description in RNAcentral is "hypothetical non coding rna". Lineage: Eukaryota; Viridiplantae; Streptophyta; Magnoliopsida; Asterales; Asteraceae. The record is from RNAcentral.
GUCUCUCACACCCCACCUUUUACUUUUUCUUUCUUUUUCAACACAAGUCACCAACUUCUCACCUUAUCCACCACAAGACAACAGCAAAUCUUGUGAAAUCUGUAAUCUUUCGAAAAACCCACAUCAAAUCUUGAAAGAUCUGUAAUCUUUUGACAUACCCACAUCAAAUCUUAUGAAAUCUCUUAUCUUUUUGAAGAACCUACGUCGAUCCUUGAAGGAAUAUUUUGAAUUUUGAGGGCUAAAGUUGAAAAAAAGAUGAAAGAUGAGAAUGGUACUAACAGCAGCGGCGGCGGCGGCAGCGGAGAGAGGCGGAGCCACCGGCUGUCGGUGUCGGAUGUGGUGUCUAAUUGUUUGAGGAGGUGGGUGAAGAAGAGGAAAGGCUUCACGGAUUGUGGGUGAAAGCAGAUGGUGAGGAAGAGGGGGUAUCGUUUGGUCUGAGGUGCGGUCGGAAUCUGCUGUUGGUCGGAGUGGGUCUCCGGCGACCGGAGGUUAGAGAGGAGAAGAGGAGUGUGGGCUUGUACGGUUGUGAAGUGUGGGCUUGUACGGUUGUGAAGCAGAUGCAGCGGAUGUUUGUUGAUUUUUCCGGGGUUUGAUUUUGAUUUUUGAGUUUUCUGGUUUGAGGUUGGAUUGGCUGGGAUAGAUUGUAGAUGAUGAGCAAAGUGUUCAGGAAUCAGAAACACUGCUCUGAUACCAUAACAACAGAUCGCGAGCAAUCACUUUGGUCUGCUUUGUGGAUGGAUCAUAGCUCAUGAGCCUACCAUAAGGCCGGCCUUCAAGUAUGUCUAAUGCAAAAUCAUGCAAGUCAUAUUUCCAGGACGCAUCAGUGAAGUAUAGUACACCAUUUUUUGCAACUGUCACCGCGUCUGUAGUCCCAAAUUUUAUGCCCUCGGCCUCGUCUGUCAGUGCUUCUAUUUCACCAUCUUCGGUUAAUUUAAGGAUUCCCUAAAGAAUUUUUUUUGGCCACAAGCUUAACUUAUAAUUUAUGUAGUUGAGUUGACUUAAUUUGAUAAUCCUUUUCACUUUG